RNAcentral lists this ribosomal RNA (327 nucleotides) under uncultured eukaryote. RNAcentral describes it as "partial 18S ribosomal RNA". It matches the Rfam family "Eukaryotic small subunit ribosomal RNA", at positions 1470 to 1796 of the family's 1831-position model. The record is from RNAcentral.
CCCUUAGAUGUUCUGGGCCGCACGCGCGCUACACUGACGAAUGCAACGAGCUUAUAACCUUGGCCGAAAGGUCUGGGUAAUCUCCAAAUUUCGUCGUGAUGGGGAUAGAUUAUUGCAAUUAUUAAUCUUCAACGAGGAAUGCCUAGUAAGCGCAAGUCAUCAGCUUGCGUUGAUUACGUCCCUGCCCUUUGUACACACCGCCCGUCGCACCUACCGAUUGAAUGGUCCGGUGAAGGCUCCGGAGGCGUCUUUCUCAAUGUUUAUUCGGCGAGAUUGGUGCCAAAGUUGAAUGAACCUUACCAUUUAGAGGAAGGUGAAGUCGUAACA